RNAcentral lists this ribosomal RNA (253 nucleotides) under uncultured bacterium. RNAcentral describes it as "partial 16S ribosomal RNA". It matches the Rfam family "Bacterial small subunit ribosomal RNA", at positions 524 to 776 of the family's 1533-position model. The record is from RNAcentral.
GACAGAGGGUGCGAGCGUUACUCGGAAUUACUGGGCGUAAAGAGUAUGUAGGCUGCUAUAUAAGUCUAUGGUGAAAUCCUGGGGCUCAACCCCAGUGCUGCCAAUGAUACUAUAUAGCUAGAGAGUGGGAGAGGUAGAUAGAAUUUCUAUAGUAGGGGUUAAAUCCGUAGAUAAUAGAAGGAAUAACAAAAGCGAAGGCAAUCUACUGGAACAUUUCUGACGCUGAGAUACUAAAGCGUGGGGAGCAAACAGG